CUCAGACAUCGCUGAGGUACAUUUCCAGGUUACUCGCUAAAUGUGAGCAAACAAUGCUGAUCUCAAUAGCGGUGCUCCUGUCAGGGUUACUCACACUGGUGUUUUUCACUUAAAGUACCAGGUUGGGAUACUAACUUUGAGUUUUGUGAAGUCUAAAGCAGGGUAUUGCGAAUGAAGCAGCUGGAGCUCUGAAAGCGGUGGAGGAUUUUCCUUUAACCACAUCUUCGUGUUGGAGAACGAUUGCUGUCAUGUACACUUACUAGACAUUUAAUGUUCCUUUACAUAAAGGAAGAAAAUAAGCUUAUGCUUUCCAUCACCCUCCUCGCUGGACAUCUAUGGAGAGGAUUUUCUGUAUGCGCUCACGCAGCUUUUGGAGUUACUUACGGUCGAGACGACACCGUGAAUGUUAAAUUUACCGAGCUGGAUAGAAGAAGACGACACACUUAACCUGAUUUGAAUGCCUUUGCAAGGAGUUUGCUGGUUUCUGUGCUGCAGGCAGGGCUUCAGUUUGCUCGGACGGGACUAUGGGGAGAAAGAGGAGGAAGAAUCUUUUGAAUUGCGCAACAAGGAGGACUUGACUCCCAAUGGACGGACUCCAGCUGAGGUGAUUGUUUCUCAGCCAUCUUGCACAGCCAAUGGAACAAAUGGCCACACUGUCUCGGAGUCUUCUGAAGAGAUGAAAAGCCUGAUCAUUGACAAGAAUAAGAUGGGACAGGAGGAAGAACCUGAACUCUUGGUAAAAGGUGAGCCUGACACACACAACUAACAUAGCACCACCGUUUAUCUUAUCCUCCUUAAAUAAAUGCAUCUACCUGCUAUUAUCAGAUAUUCAUUAUGCUGACAUCAUUACUAAUUAAGUAGGCUUC
Long non-coding RNA from Astatotilapia calliptera (eastern happy), 866 nucleotides. Lineage: Eukaryota; Metazoa; Chordata; Actinopteri; Cichliformes; Cichlidae. The record is from Ensembl.